This 484-nucleotide ribosomal RNA is filed under the name uncultured bacterium. Its description in RNAcentral is "partial 16S ribosomal RNA". It matches the Rfam family "Bacterial small subunit ribosomal RNA", at positions 30 to 507 of the family's 1533-position model. The record is from RNAcentral.
AUUGAACGCUGGCGGCAGGCCUAACACAUGCAAGUCGAGCGGAUGAAGGGAUCUUGCUCCUGGAUUCAGCGGCGGACGGGUGAGUAAUGCCUAGGAAUCUGCCUGGUAGUGGGGGAUAACGUCCGGAAACGGGCGCUAAUACCGCAUACGUCCUGAGGGAGAAAGGGGGGGAUCUUCGGACCUCACGCUAUCAGAUGAGCCUAGGUCGGAUUAGCUAGUUGGUGGGGUAAAGGCCUACCAAGGCGACGAUCCGUAACUGGUCUGAGAGGAUGAUCAGUCACACUGGAACUGAGACACGGUCCAGACUCCUACGGGAGGCAGCAGUGGGGAAUAUUGGACAAUGGGCGAAAGCCUGAUCCAGCCAUGCCGCGUGUGUGAAGAAGGUCUUCGGAUUGUAAAGCGCUUUAAGUUGGGAGGAAGGGCAGUAAGUUAAUACCUUGCUGUUUUGACGUUACCAACAGAAUAAGCACCGGCUAACUUCGUG